RNA transcript from Bubalus bubalis (water buffalo), 7588 nucleotides. It is a transcript of the gene named tetratricopeptide repeat domain 21A, with no coding region annotated. NCBI's taxonomy places the organism in Eukaryota, Metazoa, Chordata, Mammalia, Artiodactyla, Bovidae. The transcript is spliced from 30 exons. The record is from RefSeq and is a predicted model, not a curated record.
CGCCCUUAGAGAGCAGCCAGCUGCUCCGUUUCCAAGGACGCGCGAGCCUCCGACUUCCGGCCGCGAGAGGCGUACCCAGGACCCUGACUUGGGAAUCUCGCUCCGGGCGGCACCACGAGACCCCGACUCUAGAGCCGCGGGCGUCCAGAGAUGAGCAGCAAUGACUCCUCCCUUAUGGCUGGGAUCAUUUACUACAGCAAAGAAAAGUACUUCCGCCACGUGCAGGAGGCUGCAGCUGUGGGCCUGGAAAAAUUCAACAAUGACCCAGUGCUGCAGUUCUUUAAAGCCUAUGGAGUCCUCAGGGAAGAGCACAUCCAGGAUGCCAUCAGCAGCCUGGAGAGCAUCCGGAAUCACCCAGAUGUGUCCCUGUGCUCCAUCAUGGCCCUCAUUUAUGCUCACAAGUGCUGUGAAACCAUUGACCGAGAAGCAAUUCAGGAGCUUGAGAGCAGCCUGAAAGAAGUCCGCAAGACAGCCAGUGGGACUGCCCUGUACUAUGCUGGCCUCUUCCUCUGGCUCAUGGGCCUCCACGACAAGGCCAAGGAAUACAUUGACCGCACGUUGAAGAUCUCCAGCAGCUCCAGAGAGGGCUAUGUGCUCAGAGGCUGGGUGGACCUCAGCUCAGACAAACCCCACACGGUGAAGAAGUCCAUCAAGUACCUGGAGCAUGGCAUUCAGGACACCAAAGACGUCCUGGGACUAAUGGGAAAGGUGAUGUACUUCAUGAUGCUGCAGAACUACUCGGGGGCCCUUGAGGUGGUGAACCAGAUCACUGUCACCUGCGGGAGCUUCCUGCCUGCCUUGGUCCUAAAGAUGCGGCUGUUCCUGGCUCGGCAGGACUGGGAGCAGACGGUAGAAAUGGGACACAGAAUCCUCGAAAAAGACAAAAGCAAUAUCGAUGCCUGCCAAAUUCUAGCUGUGCAUGAGCUCGCAAGAGAAGGAAACAUGACCGUGGCUGCCGAGCACGUUAGGAAUCUGAUUAAGGCACUGGAAACCAGAGAGCCCCAAAAUCCAAGCCUCCAUCUUAAAAAAAUUCUUGUGGUGAGCAGACUGUGUGGGAGGCACCAGGGGAUUCUGCAGCUGGUGUGUAGCUUCAUCGAACGAGCCUUCAUGGCCACAUCCUCCGACGCCCACAUGGCCACCGAGCUGGGCUACCUCUUCAUCCUGCAGGACCAAGUAAAGGAGGCGUCUCUGUGGUACUCGAAGGCCAUGAAGCUGGACGAGAGCAGCGUGGCUGCUUUGACAGGGAUCAUCUGGUGCCAGAUCUUAGACGGCCACCUGGAGGAGGCCGAACACCAGCUGGAAUUCCUGAAGGAGGUGCAGCAGUCCCUGGGGAAGUCCGAGGUGCUGGUUUUCCUGCAAGCCCUCCUGGCGUCCAAGAAGCAUAAGGGGGAGCAGGAGGCCACGACGCUGCUAAAGGAGGCCGCUGAGCUGCACUUCUCCAGCAUGCAGGCCCUCCCCAUGAGCUCCGAAUACUUGGAACGGCUCGACCCCAUCUUCCUGGUCUGCAUCGCCAAGGAAUACCUGGUCUUCUGCCCCAAGCAGCCCCGGUCUCCAGGCCAGAUCGUGUCUCCUCUUCUUAAGCAAGUCACUGCGAUCUUGAAUCCUGUAGUCAAAGUGGCACCAGCCCUGAUUGAGCCGCUGUAUGUGAUGGCCCAGGUCAAGUAUCUCUCAGGGGAGUUAGAGCAUGCCCAGAGCACCCUGCAGCGUUGCCUGGAGCUGGACCCCACCUCCGUGGACGCCCACCUCCUCAUGGCUCAGAUCUACCUGGCUCAGGACAACUUUGCCAUGUGCUCCCACUCCUUGGAGCUGGGCGUCAGCCACAACUUCCAGGUCCGAGACCACCCGCUUUACCACUUCAUCAAGGCCAAGGCCCUCAACAAGUCUGGGGACUAUCCAGAAGCUAUAAAGGCACUGAAGAUGAUCAUAAAAUUACCAACUCUGAGGACGGAAGAGAACAAGAAGUUCCGUGGGCCCUGCGUGCGCCCCAGCGAGCGGGUGUCCAUCUUACUGGAGCUGGCAGAUGCCCUCCGGAUGAAUGGAGAGCUGCACGAGGCCACCAAGGUCAUGCAGGAUGCCAUCAACGAGUUCAGCGGCACGCCGGAGGAGAUGCGCAUCACCAUCGCCAAUGUGGACUUGGCCCUGAGCAAGGGCAACGUGGACCUGGCUCUGAGCGUGCUGCAGAGCAUCACACCCAAGCAGCCCUGCUACAUGGAAGCCAAGGAGAAGAUGGCCAGCAUCUACCUGCAGACCCGCAAGGACGCCCGCCUCUAUAUCGGGUGCUACCGGGAGCUCUGUGAACAUCUGCCUGGCCCCCACACCAGUCUGCUUCUGGGUGAUGCUUUCAUGAACAUUCAGGAGCCAGAGAAGGCCCUGGAGGUCUAUGAUGAGGCCUACAGAAAGAACCCACACGACACAUCCCUGAUCAGCCGGAUCGGGCAGGCUUAUGUCAAGACCCACCAGUACACCAAGGCAAUUAAUUAUUAUGAGGCUGCCCAGAAGAUUAGCGGACAGGACUUUGUGUGCUGCGAUCUGGCCGAACUUCUCCUGAAGUUAAAGAAGUUCAACAAAGCAGAAAAAGUUUUGAAGCAGGCACUGGAUCAUGACUUUGUCAAAGACAUCCCAUCCAUGAUGAAUGAUGUCAAGUGCUUACUUUUGCUGGCCAAGGUUUACAAGAGUCAUAAAAAAGAAGAUGUGACGGAAACUUUGAACAAGGCCAUGGACCUCCAGUCUCGGAUCCUGAAGCGUGUUCCCCUGGAGCGACCAGAAAUGAUCCCCUCCCAGAAGCAACUGGCAGCCUCCAUCUGCAUCCAGUUUGGGGAAUACUACCUGGCAGAGAAGGAGUAUGCCAAGGCAGUGCAGUCUUAUAAAGAUGCCCUCUCCUACACGCCUAUUAACAAUAAGGUGGUGCUGGAGCUGGCGAGGCUCUACCUGCUGCAGGGACACCUGGACCUGUGUGAGCAGCACUGUGCCGACCUCCUGCAGACUGAGAAGAACCACGAGGCAGCCUCCGUGGUGAUGGCUGACCUGAUGUUUAGAAGACAGAAAUACGAGGCUGCCAUCAACCUCUACCACCAAGUCCUGGAGAAAGCACCAGACAAUUUUCCUGUAUUGAACAAACUAAUCGAUCUGCUACGAAGAAGUGGCAAACUUGAGGCCGCCCCUGCCGUCUUUGAAUUGGCCGAGAAGAUGUCCAGCCGGGUGCCUUUGGAGCCAGGGUUCAACUUCUGCAGAGGCAUCUACUGCUGGCACAUAGGACAGCCCAAUGAAGCCCUGAAGUUCCUGAACAAAGCGCGCAAGGACAGCGCUUGGGGCCAGAGCGCCACCUACCACAUGGUGCAGAUCUGUCUGAACCCAGACAACGAGAUCGUGGGCGGAGAGGCUUUCGAGAACCUGGUGACCGAGAGCAACCCCAGUGCCCGCAGCUUCAGCAGCAGGAAGGAGUUGGAGCAACAUGGCGUGCGCACCGCCGAGAAGCUGCUGCAGGAGUUCUACCCACACUCGGCCGGGGGCCAUACCCAGCUGCGGCUGCUGCAGAGCCUGUGCCUGCUGGCGACCAGGGAGAAGGCCAACGUGGAAGUGGCGCUGAGCACCUUCGUUGAGAUGGCCCAGGCUGAGAAGGACAGCGUCCCCGCCCUGCUGGCCAUGGCGCAGGCCUGCUCCCUGCUGAAGCAGGUCCCCAAGGCACGCACGCAGCUGAAGCGCCUGGCCAAGGCCCCGUGGGCACUGGCUGAGGCCGAUGACCUGGAGAGGAGCUGGCUCCUGCUGGCCGAUAUCUACUGCCAGGGCGGCAAGUUUGACCUGGCCUUGGAGCUGCUGCAGCGCUGCGUGAAAUACAACAAGUCCUGCUGUAAGGCCUACGAGUACAUGGGCUUCAUCAUGGAAAGGGAGCGGUCAUACAAGGACGCGGCCUCCAACUACGAGCUGGCCUGGCAGUACAGCCGUCACACCAGCCCCGCCAUCGGUACAGUCGUCGGGCAGGCACGCGCUUCAGGCUCGCUUUCAACUACUUGAAAGACAAGAGAUUCGUGGAAGCCAUUGAAGUCUGCCAUGAUGUCCUCAGGGAGCACCCCAACUACCCUAAAAUCAGAGAAGAAAUUCUGGCAAAGGCCCAAGGGUCUCUGAGGCCCUAGCUGUGGAUGGCGGUAAUGGGCCAGGCUCACCGCAGGGGAAGGAGCUCUGAACUGGGAGUCAGGAGGCCUAGAAUCUCCCUGUGUGACCUUUCCCUCUGGGUAUGUGUCCCCAUCUGUGGCAGGAAAUUAGACUAGAUCUCUCUGUUCUCAAAUUACAGUACAAAUCCCUGCCAACGAUAUACAGCAAACAUCUGAAAAUUUCAUAACUAUGUGUUUAAAUAUCAUCCUUAUAUAAUAGAGAAAAAUAGCACACAAACUCAUGAAUUUGUGAGUGCUGUUACAUAGAAUACUUCUCACUUUUAAGCAUAUUGAUAUAAUCGAUAAAAAGUAAAAUAAUUCAUAGGCUUCCCUGGUGUCUCAGUGGUAAAGAAUCCGCCUGCCAAUGCAGGAGACACAGGUUCAAUCCCUGGGUCGGGAAGAUCCCCUGGAGGAGGAAAUGGCAACCCACUGCAGUAUUCUUGCCUGGGAAAUCCCAGGGACAGUGAAGUCUGAUAGGAUACAGUCCAUAGGGUUGCAAAGAGUUGGACCUGACUGAGUGACUAAACAACAAAAUAUACUUAGUAUGAGUAGAACUCAGAUAGGGCAGAGUUUUCAAGUUGUCCAGUGACUAAGGUUUGGGAACAGUGAACAGGUUAGGGUCCCUUCUAGAACAGCCUAAGGCAUCCCUCAUGACUUCGAGCCUUGUUUUUAUAACAGACUGAUGAUCACGUGCGUGGCCUUUUGGUAUGAGUCAAUGAUCUGGAACAUCUUCCCCAGGUUACCACCAUCAUUCCUAUGGGAAGCCAGCUGCCUUUAUUAUGAUCUGUUUUACAAGCUAGUUUCUAGGGGUGGAUUAUGUUGAGAGGUACCCCUGUGGCCCCAGCUGGGGAAUGGGUGGCUUAGUCCAACCAUGGGCUGUGGCCAUGGGAUAGGAACCUACACGGGCUUCGAACCAGAGUAUUGGAGCUGUGGGGAGCUGCCACCCAGACCCCCAGGCUGGCCCAAGGAUCAUGCCUUUGGAUCAUGCACACUGGAGCAAUCACAAGCGUGUCGGGCUUCCAGGCUACACAAGGCAACUUAGUGAACUAGGGUACUCCACCCUGAGAUGCCUCAGACCUGGCUGUCCCUGCCUAAGCUGGUUCUGGGGACAGGCGGCCCCACUGCAGGCCAGACUCCAAACCAUGAGUUCUCUAAUGGCCACUCCACUGAUGAUAGGACUGCGUGACCAUGUCCACACGUCCUGAGGCAAGAGAUACAUACCUAGAGGGUCACAGAACUGGCAGAAGAAGAGAAUAAAACCUACAGAAAGAGAGGCAGACACUUGAAAACAGAAUGGGAAGUCACAGAUAUGCACCAGAGGCCUGCAAGUUCAGGCGCUCCCGUGAGUGCCGGUUUAUGUAUGAACUGAACAAGCUUGUGAGGUGAGUAACGUUAUUAUUUAGACAGUUUGGGAGACAUCCAGGCACACAGACAGGAAGUAAUUUGCAUAAGUCACCUCACUAGUUAGUAUAACAGCAGGGUUUCAAACCCUGGCAUUCAGGGCCCAUACUCUUAACCUGUAAACCAUAGAGAGGAAAUAGGGGGAGCCCAACACAGGCCAGAGGCAGAGGAUGAGAGCAAGAAAAAGGAAACCAAGUCAGGCCUCUUUGGUGCCCCCUCCUAGCGCUUAUAUGUUGUUGUUCAGUCGCUAAGUCGUGUCCACCUCUCUGUGGCCCCAUGGACUGCAGCACGCCAGGCUCCUCUGUCCAGCACUUGUGUACAUCAUCAUCAUUCCCAGAGCUGAGGUCAGCCUUGCUCCUCCAGCCCCCAGACUGGGGCUCCUUGGGGCAGGGAGCAGCCUGCUCGUCUGGCCUCUGGCCCGGGCUUCCAGGGGCAGGUCAGACAGGUCUGGCUGGUGCAGAUGAACGUUUUGCAGCUUCCGGUGCUCAAGCCCUGGAGACCUCUGCCACUCAGUCCCACACAGGGCCUGCGCCGGCCACAUCCCACUGCCCGCCCUCAACUCGAGGGGAUGACUUCACCCUCAGGGCCUGGGUGCAGCCUGGUGUGGGUGAGUGUCUGUCCCAAGCAGACAGCCCGGUCCCAAAAGACUGCUCUGCUGCUGCUCCCCACCACCACCCAGGUGACCCCUCAGACGGCUUCAUCUGCCUGGCCAGCCUCUUCUAGCUGACUUUCCGUCUCUGAGUUGACUGGCUGGCCUGGAAAGAGGGCCUGUGUCCCCCAUGUCUAUCCCUGAUGCAGCCUCCAUGUCCAUACUGCCCUGCAGGGCCUGUCUCCCCUUCCCUCUCCCACCUCACCACCUCCUGUGUACCUGUGCUCCAAGCUCCACAAAUGCAGACCACGCUGUUAAAAAUAGAGCCUCUUUAUUGGUACCUAUAAGCUCAGGUACAAGGUGUUCCCACAAGCUCGCAGGCUGGCAAGGCCUGCUGGGCAGGAGGGCAGGCCCAGAGCCUGGGCUUCUUGGCACAGACACAGAGGAAAAAUGAAUAAAUUAUAGUUCUAAUACUCAGAGACAAUACAGAAAUUAUGAUACAAAAUCCAACAUCAGCAAACAAAGGGCAGGAAAGCCAUAAGGAGCCCCUCUCGCCCCUGGCCAACUGGCCUUAGGGUGCGGGCAGGUGGACCAGGCUGGGGUGCAGUGCCCGGAAAGCCCUGAGUGGUCCAGGGCCUACUGUGGGCCCUGAGGCAGCCCCUUAACCCUCUCUGGGCCUCCUGCUUCCCCCUCCUACAUUUACGGCCUUGGAAUAAAAGCUGCGGCCUUUGCGGGGGUAGAGGGAGAGAUGGGCAGAGGACAGGAAGGAGAGGGGAUGUGUGGAGCAGAAGAGGGUUUUGGUCACGGUUGGUCAACCCGGCCCAGCCCAGCCCAGCCCCUGCCCCUACUUGCUCAGCCAUCCAGAGCAGGGCUGCUGCACGUUAGACAGAGGGUGCAAACCCAUGCCUGGUCUACACCAAAGCCCCAGCAAGGGCAGGGUUGCAGGACUAUCAGGAAAAGGGACUUUGCGGGUGGUGGAGAGGGUCCUGUGCCCCACCCCCGACACCAGCAUUGCUCGCCAGCCACCUAGUCUCCAAAUAAAUUAUGGGAAAUAAAUUAUAGUCUUCACAGUCCAGAGGAUCCAGUCACCCAUGAGUCUAGGGCUCAGGGUGGCAGAAGAAACCAUAAGAGGUGGCUGAUUUCAGCCUCAUGUGGCUGUCUUCGGGCUUAGGAACAUCAUACAAGAUGGACAAGGAGUCUGCAAAGCUCCAGGGAAGCCACAUUUCUUCUCACUCCUGGCAUGUGCCAUGGAUGUGGAAGAGAAGGUGUGGGCAUAGGGGGGCCGGGCAACUGAAAGGGGAAGCGCCCCCCUCUCCCCAUUUCAGCAUAGAAAGUUACAAAAAUAAAUAAAUCAAUCCAGAGUGUUGCAUGAAAAUUAGUAGGAGUGCCCACAUGGGAGCCAGCCAACGGGGGACCAUUACAUAUAGACCUUGGGGAGCCCCCCAAAUUA